Long non-coding RNA from Gambusia affinis (western mosquitofish), 878 nucleotides. RefSeq lists it as uncharacterized. The record is from RefSeq and is a predicted model, not a curated record. Lineage: Eukaryota; Metazoa; Chordata; Actinopteri; Cyprinodontiformes; Poeciliidae. The transcript has 7 exons.
GGACAGAGUCGGGUCAGAAGAUCCUGCGGGUUUGGAUCAGCUGUGUGUCUGUGUGGCUUCAGCACAUGGUAUGACAGCGCCCCCAGCAGGCCUCCGUGGUGAUGUGAAGCCCUUUACAGCCGGGCUUCUGGGCCACAAAGGAGAACUCGCGCACUGCGCAGCCCCGGAAACUCUGGAGCGGCGUUGUCAUGGAGACGGACACCACGGCUGCCGCGGCAACAAGGAGGAGGAGUACGGAAAGGGAAAAGAGACGCAGCGGCAUGCUGGGUUGUACCUGAGGAAGAUGUUGUUGAUCUGUUUGCGGAUGUACGCUCGGAGGCCCAGUAAUUUUCCAUAGACGCGGUGCAGGAUGGUCUUCAGACUGUGAAGGUGAAAUAUAACCCUCGCUCAAUGUGGAGUAACUCGAAUGAAGAUGGGACUGAAAGAAGAAGAUAAAAUAAAGAACUGAAAACUGCAUUUGUAUUGAGAGCUCAAUUAAAGAAAAUCACAGCACUCGGCAAAGGUAAGCCACCGACGCCUGAUCCCCAAGCAGACUCAGGAAGAGAGUAGGCGUACAGAAAUUAACUCCAAUUCAGAAAACAAACGACUCCAUUAGGUAGGAAGGGAGUCCAGUCUGCAGCUGAAGAGGGAAAAUGUUGCUGUGAUGGAGAGGCUGCUGCGCCCGUUUCCCAAAUCAAUCAGUCAGGGAGACGAACUGAUGCUGUGAUUCAAUGAAGGCUAACAGGGGAAAAGCUUUACGGCUUCAGUCCAGACGAUUCCAGAGGUUCAACAUCAGUGGACAUCGUUUGUGGGGCAGCGGGGUGAGCUCCACCUGGGAGCUCUGGUAGCGGAACUGGGACGAGCUGUGGGACCUCCUCUGCCGCGCUCUGCGCAUCGAC